RNAcentral lists this ribosomal RNA (1980 nucleotides) under Triticum aestivum (bread wheat). RNAcentral's name for it is "partial small subunit ribosomal RNA". The record is from RNAcentral. Lineage: Eukaryota; Viridiplantae; Streptophyta; Magnoliopsida; Poales; Poaceae.
GGGAAAAUGGAGGGGUUUGAGAGGGAUUGGCAGGGUUUACAUCCUCUACAAGUCAAAACCUCCUCCAAUCCACCCCAAUCCCCCUGUGAGGAGGUGUAACCGAACAAAGCCUCACGGAGUCCCGGUCCACCCCUCCCACACGCCGCACCCAAUCCCCUCCUCCCGCACGCCUCGCACCCAAUCGCCUCCUCCUGCAUGAACCCUAGCCCCCAAUGGAUGGGACGCCACACCCUCACUCCUCCCCAGCAGCCUCCACCCCCCUUCCUCCGCCCUCCCACCUUCGUGGGAUCCAAGGCAUGCGGCCACGGAGGCGAGCCUCUCCGGCGACGGCAGCAACCUAUAGGCAGAGAAGAUUGGAGAGAGGGAGAGAAGGAAUGAGAGGAGGGAGGUCCGGCGGCGGACAUGAGAGGGUCACUGGCCUGCACCGGUGAGAUCAGGUGUGACCUCGCAGACCUGGCAGUCGGUGGCGGCUCGAUCCACUCCUGGAUCCUUCUUCCACUUCCCCACUGCCUACCACCAAGCACGGGUCAGUGAGCAUGGGAUCGACGACGGUGGCCGGAAGCCAGGAUGGUUGGCUGAGGAAGAGGGCGAGGACUUGAGGAUUGAAGAGGGUUCCUAUGCAGUCUGUUCUUUGCAAGGGUAAAGCAUCAUCAGCACUGGUGGUUGUUGGAUCAGUAGAUGAUUCCUAGCAUAUGUCUUCUUAACCAGGGUCGAAGUGUUAGUGGAGAUCAAAGUUCCAAGGAGGAUGCUCACGAGAUGGUUGGGCUUCCUUCAAUACCAGUGCUAACUAGGAGCUGACAUGCGGUGCAAAUUUUCUCUGGGUAUGCUUGUUCGUCCCCGCCAAAACCGGGCAAGGAACUGAGAGCUUGCACAUGCCAAUUUCUUAUAUUGUUUUCUCAUGACCGGUUAUAGUUGCUAUAAAUUCAUGAUUACCUUUGUGGUUGCUUGCUAGUUUGCAGGAUAGGUGAGGCGAUGAUCCAAAAAAUUGGUAAGAAUGGUGCUCCCACGUUCUCUCUUAUCCAGGAAAAUCAAUACAGCAAAAUGUGUGUUUAAUAAACCUUGCAUUGUUGCAAAAAUUCAUAUUAUGUUUGUGAAUCUAAUGCAAUGGUGGAUAUCAUGAAGAAGAGGGACAUGUUUGUUGCAUUUGAAGGUGUACUUAUGAGUGCAAGGGAGCCUCGAGGAUUUGGGUUUGUCCAGUACUUCAAUCCUGAUGAUGCUGCAGAUGGAAAAUACUACAUGGACGGACAGGUUAUUCAUGGCAAACAAGUAGCAGUUUUAUUUGCAUAAUAGAACAAAAAGAAGCCCGCUAAGGGGUGUCCCGCGACAGAUGCACGCCUAAUGACGUUGUGGAGCUGUCAACUCCGACCCAGAUUGCCACAGAGAACAGCAAAGCAUCCUCCCUUCUCCCUUCCGGUUGCAUAUUCGCCUGGUGGAUUACAACAUCUUUACCUGAUAAACAUGGAAUAUACAAGAGGAAGGAGCAACUGCAGCAAGCAGUGAUGCUUUAGGCACUGAUGUGAGGAUUACUGCAUUUGAGAGCAGAGGAAGAGAAUCGUAAAACUGUCAUGUUCGCUUCCGCCAUUCAUGCCGAGCGGGAUGUGUGGUAGAGAGGAUUUCUUUUUCGCAAAAAUCGGAAGAGAGGCUAUUGAAGCCACCUUUGCCAACAUAGAUGAAGAUGAGAGGAUUGGCCAACUUUGGACUCCAACAGCAGCGAUGAUGAUGAAGACUUGAACUAUGACUAUGAGUCUGAGUAGUAGAAGAAUCAUUUAUGUUUUUGUGCAUCGUUGACGGGGAUUGAAUUUGUUACAUAGAUUUGUUUCAAAUAUAACUCCAUGCUACCAAAUUUUAAUGUGUAUAUACAUUUCAUUGUAGACAACAAACCCCUGUUUUUCUAGAAGAUUAAAUUUGUUGUCAUAUGUGCUUUCAUGUAACUAAGCAACUAAACCAUGGAUUACUUUUCAUCGCUAACAUGGAAUCAGC